Molecule: long non-coding RNA, 2869 nt
Organism: Hordeum vulgare subsp. vulgare (domesticated barley)
Lineage: Eukaryota; Viridiplantae; Streptophyta; Magnoliopsida; Poales; Poaceae
Exons: 2
Source: RefSeq, a predicted model, not a curated record
UACCACUGCCGUCCACGUCGUGGUCCGGCGCAGACGUCGCGUCCAGGACACUGACCGCAUUAACUCUCCGGAAAACGAAGCCCCGUUUCUCCUGCACGUACGGGCUCAUCAAAGAGCUUGAUGUGAUGUGAUGCGAUCCAUGCCGCCGGCGCCGGAGCGUGGAUGGUCGCAAUCCCCGUGGAGCAGUACAUGUCUGUUCACGGUCACCACGGCUCUAACGUGCACGGCAGCGGCAGUACCGCAAUUAUCAAUGGGCUUGUCCGUGCAUUGCAUGCAUGCACCGCCCGCCCGGCCGCAGGCGUGCCGCACCGCACGACGGGCGCUUCGCUGCCGACCGAGAUCGUUAUCAUCAAUCGCCGCCGCGGGCGACGAAAAGUGGCGCGAUCUGCGCCGAAACUACGACCGGCAAAUGAUAAGGGUCGUUGCCAGACAGCUCAUCCCGGAACCCAACAAAAUGAGUAGAUCGGUCAGCCUUUAAACACCGAACCGCGGCAGUCUGGUUUUUCAGUUGUAACAAUAAUGGCCGAGGUCGGCAUCAGCUGGCACCUACUAAUUGUACUCGUAGUAGUAAUAGCAGAGGAGGUAAAGGCAAAGUGCAGCGAGAGAUCCGGCGCUGAUGGCGACGUGGCGUGCGCGCCGGCGGCGACCCACCACACACAACACGAGCACGACGGCGCGGCGUGGUGGCAGCGAAGCGAAGCACGGGUCGACCGAAUCAUUGGCAGCCGACACCGACCGGUCACCCAGCCAGUUCGCCAGCGCACGGCAGGGCACGACACGUCGCUCUCCCGGCAUGUCGGCGCGGCUCAACGUGCGUCCUGCCGUGCCCCCUCCCGUGCCCCGGGGAGUAGAGGACAGGCGGGGCUCACACAAAAAAAAGGUUGCUGUUUGUUUAAGCAAGAAAAAAGGGGAGGGGGAGGGGACGGGGCGAUCUGCUUCGGUUCCGGCGAAGAUAUUGCUGCGGUGUAGUACGGCGGUGGCGAUCGGGAGCAGCUGACUUUUCGGUGGGUGUGCGUAUCGUGUGCCUGCCCGAAUCGCUACUGCGACGACAUGGCGUGUGUUCGGAGGAGCGGAACAGCGGUAGCACAGCGACGAGUCAAUCGGCGAGGGAUCCUAUGUAGCUAUCGAGUUGAUUGUGGCAUGUAGGGACGUUGGGGGAGGUGGGCGACGGAGAUUCGCUUGCUUGCUCGCUCUGUACGUGCGGGCGCACAUGGCACGUCCGUCGGCCGUGCACCGCGGCUACAGCCUACGUAGACCUGUGGAUAGGGCUGAAGUCUGAAACAAACCCUGUGUUUGUACGUACAGUCGCAAAUGACUCUCCACCUCUAAAUCCGUGAAAUCCAUGCCCUGAACUCUCUAAUCCCUAAUUUUUAAUCCUUGUGUGCCUAUCCAAACGCCGGGAUUCCUACAUGGCUCGGGAAAGGCUGGGAACAGGCUGAUUCAACAAGUGCAGGUGGGGUCUCAGACCAUUACCUGGUCAAGCCGGACCAGCUCGCGGGCCCCCUCUUCUACUCCGCCUCUUCCUCUUCCUCUGCCCCGGUGCGCCUCUGUUCCUCUUCCUCUGCGGCAACGACGAUGACAAGCUGAUGAUCGCGGCGACCGUCGGCAACAACUCCGGCACCAAAUAGAAAGGUACGCCUGGUCUAUCCCCCUCUCCAAUCGCAGGUGUUUUCUUCGUUUCAAACUUGGUUAGGUUUAAGUUUUUAAUGGUGAAGGUGCAGUUAUUGUAGUUCGAAAUCAGUGUAUUUGUUGGUGAUUUUUGUUGUCCAGUAUAGUAAUCAGUUAUGAUGCUCGCAAUGUAGCUUUUUUUGUUGAAUCCAUGGACCCGACUCAGAUGUUGAACGUCAGAUUUCAUAUAGGGGGCAAUUUGUUCGAAUUGGUCCUUCUAUGGACUAUGUUGGAGGAGAUGUAGCCUACUCUGUGAUUGAGAGAGAUAAGUUGUCUUUGCAGGAGGUCAAAGGUUUCCUUGCAGAUCAUUUGACAGUUAAGGAAAGCAUGAAGUUUUAUUUUCUUAUGCCCGUCAGAGACUUGAUUAAUGGGUUGUUGUUUCCACAUGAUUAUGUUGGUUGCAUGAGUAUGUCAGAUCAUACAACAGAUGGUGGAGUUGCUGAUAUUUUUAUGGAGUACAAUGGGGAACACGAUGAAGGAGAGCAGGAAAGUGGUUCUGACUUUCAGGAUGAAAUUGAGGAACACAUGAACAGUGGAAGUGAAUAAGAUAUGCCUAGCAAGGAAGAAAAACAAUGAUAGAAGGAGGGAAGAGGGGGAAGCACCCAAAGGAAAGAAGCUUAGCAAGCAUGGAAUUCAAAUCACUUGUGGGCCAUGUGGGGGUAAGGGACACCACAGAGGAUCUUGUUUGCAGAAUGCUGAUAGGAACGAAAAAAUAAAGCUUUUCUUGCAAAGAGAGGGAAAAAACAAAGGUCCAUUGAGAGACUAAGGCUGCCAAAAGCAGGGCAGCUACAACUAGAUCUUCAAAACCUGCAAGCAGGACUCAGCAUGCAGCAACUACAAGCUCACAACCAGCCACCUCUAGCUUCAGACCUCCAAGAGCAACAUCAACUAGAAAUACACCUAUUGGAGGAAGUACAUGUGCUGGCAGAGGAUCAGGAACUACUGGAGGGAGUACACGUGCUGGAGGAAGUAGAUUUGCUGGCAGAGGAUCAGGAAAUGCUGGAGGGAGUACAUCUGCUGGAGGAAGUAGAUCUGCUGGCAGAGGUUCAGCAACAGGAUUCAUGGCCUAUUUCACAGCUUCUGGGAACUACUGAAGUUGUGUACCUCUGAAAUGUGGUUGUCGUGUGAACUACUGUUAUUUUGGAUGUGUGUGUGUUCUUGUGAACUACUGGUAUUUUGGAUGUGUGUGUGUUCGUGUGAA